GUGAGGAAUUUUCCGCAAUGGGCGAAAGCCUGACGGAGCAAUGCCGCGUGAAGGAUGAAGGCCUAUGGGUUGUAAACUUCUUUUCUCAGAAAAGAAUUAUGACGGUAUCUGAGGAAUAAGCAUCGGCUAACUCUGUGCCAGCAGCCGCGGUAAGACAGAGGAUGCAAGCGUUAUCCGGAAUGAUUGGGCGUAAAGCGUCUGUAGGUUGUUUAAAAAGUAUUCUGUCAAAGAUUAGGGCUUAACCCUAGAUAGGCAGAAUAAACUUUUAAGCUAGAGUUUGGUAGAGGCAGGAGGAAUUCCCGGUGGAGCGGUGAAAUGCGUAGAUAUCGGGAGGAACACCAAAGGCGAAGGCAGAUCUCUGGGCCGUAACUGACGCUGAGGAGCGAAAGCGUGGGGAGCGAACAGGAUUAGAAACCCCAGUAGUCC
Molecule: ribosomal RNA, 426 nt
Filed under: uncultured bacterium
Lineage: Bacteria
Description: partial 16S ribosomal RNA
Rfam family: Bacterial small subunit ribosomal RNA
Source: RNAcentral